CCUACGGGAGGCUGCAGUGAGGAAUAUUGGUCAAUGGGCGAGAGCCUGAACCAGCCAAGUCGCGUGAAGGAUGACGGCCCUACGGGUUGUAAACUUCUUUUGUCAGGGAGCAAUUGAGUCCACGUGUGGGCUUAGCGAGAGUCCCUGAAGAAAAAGCAUCGGCUAACCCCGUGCCAGCAGCCGCGGUAAUACGUAGGAUGCGAGCGUUAUCCGGAUUUAUUGGGUUUAAAGGGUGGGUAGCCGGAAUAUUAAGUCAGCGGUAAAAAUUCGGGGCCCAACCCCGUCGUGCCGUUGAAACUGAUGUUCUUGAGUGGGCGAGAAGUAUGCGGAAUGCGUGGUGUAGCGGUGAAAUGCAUAGAUAUCACGCAGAACUCCGAUUGCGAAGGCAGCAUACCGGCGCCACACUGACGCUGAAGCACGAAAGCGUGGGUAUCGAACAGGAUUAGAUACCCGGGUAGUC
RNAcentral lists this ribosomal RNA (460 nucleotides) under uncultured bacterium. RNAcentral's name for it is "partial 16S ribosomal RNA". It matches the Rfam family "Bacterial small subunit ribosomal RNA", at positions 338 to 795 of the family's 1533-position model. The record is from RNAcentral.